AUGAGGGUGCUGAAGGAAUGUGGAGACUGCGUCUGCGCCGUGCCAACCUGCCCGCCCACGACUCAACACAGCUCAGUGGAGCAUGUCCAGCAACUCUGGAAGGAAUGGGAGAUCCAGUUGCUCGUGCUAGCGAGCUUCUCCCUUCAAGUCAUCCUCCUCUUCUCUGCAGCGUUCCGGAAGCGCCACAGCUCCCGCGUGCUGAGCGCGCUGUUGUGGCUGUCAUACCUAUCGGCAGACUCCAUCGCGGUCUUCGUCCUCGGACGCCUCGCCGCCCACACUAGUGACCCACAGCACCAGCUUGUGCUAUUUUGGGCGCCCUUCCUGCUGCUCCACCUUGGCGGACAGGACACCAUCACCGCCUUCUCCAUGGAGGACUGCAUGCUGUGGAAGCGCCACCUGCUGAACUUCACCAUCCAGGUGGCACUGGCCAUUUACAUCGUCCGCAAGCAGUGGCACGGAGGCAGUCAGCUUGUAGCUCCCAUGGUACUAAUGUUCAUCUCUGGAACUAUUAAAUAUGCUGAGAGAAUUAGGGCACUCAGGAGAGCAGGCUCAAGGAGCAGCAGCUUCAAUGCCGGUGGGAGGCAUCUUGCCUCCGGCUUGAGCAGAUAUUAUGAUGGCCUGCUAUCAAUAAUUUCUGAGAAGAAAGAGGAAAAUUUCGAACAUGUGAUGGAUGUGACCUGCGGGGGCUUCUUUAUGAAGUUUGAUUUUUUGAUGGACGUAAAUCCUCCAUUUAGCGGAAUUGAUUUACAGGAUUUAAGGAUUGCAAUUGCAGAAAGGAUUCACAGGUUUGACGAUGGAGCUAAUGAUCUAGUGUACAAGAUUGUUGAGAUUCAACUCUCACUGGUACAUGACUACUUGUACACCAAGUUUGGACGGGUCACUGGUGUGUUACAUCGACUCAUCACACUUGUCCUAACCUCUACGGCUCUCGUUUUGUUUUUGGAAGCCAGGGUUGAUCAUCAAUUGCAGGGACUAGUCAACUACAGUAGAGCUGAUGUUACCAUAUCUUACAUAUUGCUUGUGGGCGCUGUCACAAUGGAGAUAUCCUCUACCUUCAUGUGGUCCCUGUUAUCAUAUUGGCCAUACAUGCCAAUUGCAUAUUGGCGGACAUUUGAUUAUGACAAAAUCUUCCAUUGUGUACCCAAGGGUCUCCAUCCAGGAAGCAGAAUGGAGUGGCCGGGGAAGAUGAAACAGUAUAACAUGCUUGAUGGAUGCAUCCAGGAGAUACAAGCUGGCCGACUGGAACGGAUUAUGGGCAGUAUCGGCAUCAAGCGGGAUUACACAACACAUGUCGUCAUAUCUCCUGAGGUAAAGAAGGUGCUACUUGUAAAACUGCUUGAGAUAAAAACCAAUGCACCUGGUGGUGGGGGAUUGUCCUCCAGCAGCUUCCGUGGCCAAUGGUCUCAAUGGUGGGCUGCGCUCCAGACCAAAGAUUAUCUUGGUGCAGGUCAACAAUCUGAAAGUGCAGCUCAACGGGCACUUCAGUUAAGCAACAUCCAAGGUUUGGCUUUUGUGUCAAGUGUCUAUCUUUGGCACAUGGUGACUGAUAUAUGCUUAGUGGCCGAUAAGACUGCCAGUGCCUCCGAAUUCAGAAGUUUUAGCCAAGCAUUGUCCAAUUACAUGAUGUAUCUUGUCGCCAAGCGUAAUGUGAUGCUUGAUAGCUGUGCGUAUCAUGUGCUUCAUAAAAGUCGACAUAGUUUGUUGUGCACUCGUCCUGCUAUCGUUGCUGAUCGGAGUGCGUUCCUCCAGAAAGUCUAUCACGGUGUCUACCAUGGUACCCGUGCACUUGACCAAGCUCGUGAGGUCUCCUUGGAAUUGCUUAGGCCCGAAGGAGCAGCUUAUCGGUGGGAGCUGAUUGCAACGGUAUGGGUGGAUAUGCUAUGCUACAUUGCUCGUAAUUGUGGGGCUGAAUUCCACGCCAAACAUCUAAUCACUGGCGGGGAGUUCGUUAGUCAUGUCAAAAUUGUUCUGGUUGUUCUAGGCUUUUCCUUCCAUGAGUAUGAAGAGGUCGAGCUAGCCUGA
RNAcentral lists this ribosomal RNA (2022 nucleotides) under Triticum aestivum (bread wheat). RNAcentral describes it as "partial small subunit ribosomal RNA". The record is from RNAcentral. Lineage: Eukaryota; Viridiplantae; Streptophyta; Magnoliopsida; Poales; Poaceae.